Molecule: unclassified non-coding RNA, 1677 nt
Filed under: Haliotis rufescens (red abalone)
Lineage: Eukaryota; Metazoa; Mollusca; Gastropoda; Lepetellida; Haliotidae
Description: baculoviral IAP repeat-containing protein 7-B-like, transcript variant X2
Source: RNAcentral
UGUUAGUUAAAAUGAAUAGUUUGUUGGCAGUGUUAGUAAAAAUGAAUAGUUUGUUGGCAGUGUUAGUAAAAAGAAUAGUUUGUUGGCAGUGUUAGUAAAAAUGAAUUUUUGUUGGCAGUGUUAGUAAAAAGAAUAGUUUGUUGGCAGUGUUAGUAAAAAUGAAUAGUUUAUUUUGUGGAACAUCCUCAAACGUCAAACAUUUUGUGUUAAUAGUAAAAAUGAAUAGAUUGUUUGAUGGCGCCCAGUGACUAAGUAGAUUGUUGGAUAUAGUUGUGGGAAAAUAGAUUGUUCUCAACACUGUCACGCAUAUGCACGUCGCUAUAUCCAUUGUGAGUGCAAUAGUCAACGCAACGUUAGUCCCCAUCUCACCUCCCUUGCAUGCACCUAUUUGUUAGUACUUUCUGCUGAUCCGUGAUGCCAUUGUUAGCGGGUCACAGCUCAGUAACUUGUGUUCUUUAUUUGCAAAAAUCAAAAUUUGAAACUUAACGUUCCUUCCGAACGCAACAGAAAGAUACGGCCUGUCUUCAGACUAACAUCUUGUCUCUGACAUGAACAUUAUCUAAAAGAAAAGACAGUUGAUAAAUUAUCUUUAAAAAAUAAAAUAAAAAGAGGCUCUCUUCAUUUUCAAAUACGGCAGUAAUCUUGGCUUACCCACUUUUAUAGACUUGCGUGGGCUUUGUUAGAUAUAUUUGUUUCAGGAUCCGUAUGACAGACUAGCCUGACUUUUAAACGUCUCAUGUUUGAAUGAGAUUAAUUAUGAUUUGAAAUCUCCCAUCGACAAUCAGAUUCGGACUUUCCCCAAAUUUAUGGUAGAAUGAAUCAUAAUACUAAUCUAAAAUAGCAUCACUAUGUUUAUAUAUCCUUUCAAAUAAAUAUAUAAUAUCCUUGUAUAUAGUCACCACAAUGAGUUCAUCGUUUUGUGUUAUUAUGAAACAUGAUUUUAUGACUCAUAAUAACAAGUUUAUCUACCCCAGCACAAUAUAUGCAAUUAUAACAUUUACAAAUUAUUGCUGCAUUUUCAUUGGUCGGGAAAGGGUCACCUGACCUUCCUUAGAAUACGGCACUGCCCCGAGAUCCACCCUGCCGCGCAGCGAUCAAAAGUAGUUCUGACCUGCGUGAUUAAGCCAACUAGAGCUGACGCAUAGUGUAUUAUUUGAAAAAUGAUUUCAUUUAUAAUAUUCCAUUGUAUCGUAUACACCAAAUUCUAUCCACAAAUUGCGCCCACACUCAAUACUAUUCGCUGACGAGGCCUUUAGGGGAAUCCCCUUGUAGCAAUCUCAUAUUCUACCUCGUCGCUAUCAGCUUCGGACGGACUGUUACACAUGCUGCGAUGUAUUCAGUGUUACUGUGAACAUAUUAUCUUAAACAAUGUGAUUCUCUACAUAUUUGUGUGUGUUAAUACUCUGCUGGCAAUGGCCAGAAUGGACAUGAAGUCGGAACGGUGUAGACUGGGGACGUUCUCAAGAUGGGCGUAUGGAUCUAUACAACGACCCGUCGACCUUGCGGCAAACGGACUGUUUCAUACGGGCUAUCUAGAUAAGCUGUAACAAAGAUGAGGAUGACAUCCAAUCCAAGGUCCCUCCGAGUCCUCCUCCUUCACCAGCAAGGCGGACGAUUCAGGAUAAUAUCACUCAUCAUAUGGAAAGUGAGUCGGUCCAGGCGGUACUAGAAAUGGGC